Molecule: ribosomal RNA, 164 nt
Filed under: Geotrichum candidum
Lineage: Eukaryota; Fungi; Ascomycota; Dipodascomycetes; Dipodascales; Dipodascaceae
Description: partial 28S ribosomal RNA
Source: RNAcentral
CAACCUCAGAUCAAGUAGGAUUACCCGCUGAACUUAAGCAUAUCAAUAAGCGGAGGAAGAAUCAUUAAGAAUGGAUCGAACUAGACUUUUGAAAAGGGACGCUUGGGGCCGAGAGCGAGUGUUGCGAGACAACAAAAAGCUCGACCUCAAAUCAGGUAGGAAUA